CAAAUAAAAGCUGUUUGUUUUGUGUUUCAGUUAAUUCUCUGGACUGCCUGAAAUGUGACGGGGGUACUUCGUGUUCUGCUACAUCACAAACGUGCAGCAACUCCGAGACGUGUUUAACAUUUUCAUCGACAAGUGUUGGCUUUCAGCAGUAUGGUUUUACGCAAAACGGCUUUGUUAAGAAAUGCGGUCCCAAGCUUCAAACCUGCGGUCAGCUACUGAGUGCAAAGUUCACCAAUCAACUCAGAGUGGAGUCCCGUGUUGAGUGCUGUGACACGAAUCAGUGCAACACCGGCGUCUAUAAUGUUGCUCUCACUGGGGAUUCCUCGAAUGGGAAGCAGUGUCCUUCAUGUGUCAAUACUGGUAGCUGCGGGACAGACUUGGUUAACUGUCUUGGAACACAAGAUCAAUGCAUCACAUUGACUGGGGCUGCACCAGGUAUUCCUACAGUACGCUGAAGGGAUGUGCCACCAAAGCUGCAUGUGAUAAAGACUCUUUGGUGACGGCCCUGGCCAUUUUUGAUUAAUUACAAGUAGCUUGUAAUGCAGCUUCUGCAAAUAGAUUUAUUCCCCGAGGAAUACACAUGGUCAUGAUAGCUGGAGCUGCUUCCCUAGCUCUGGGGUUUGUGUUUAACUAAACAUCCAGCA
This is a long non-coding RNA of Acipenser ruthenus (sterlet), 644 nucleotides long. RefSeq lists it as uncharacterized. Lineage: Eukaryota; Metazoa; Chordata; Actinopteri; Acipenseriformes; Acipenseridae. The record is from RefSeq and is a predicted model, not a curated record. The transcript has 4 exons.